RNAcentral lists this ribosomal RNA (333 nucleotides) under Onchocerca lupi. Its description in RNAcentral is "partial 12S ribosomal RNA". The record is from RNAcentral. Lineage: Eukaryota; Metazoa; Nematoda; Chromadorea; Rhabditida; Onchocercidae.
UUUUUNUUUUUUUUUUUUGGUAUCAAAAAUUUGUUUUUUGAACUGGAUUAGUACCCAGGUAAUCAAAAUUUAUUAAUUCGGGAGUAAAGUUUUGUUUAAACCGAAAAAAUAUUGACUGACUUUAGAUUUUUCUUUGGAAUAUGUGAUUUUGUUGGAGAGCCCUCUUUUUUGGUAAAUUUUGUUGGCACAUGUAUGAUUGUUUAGUUUUUAUUUUAUUUUGUAAUGCUUUUUUUGUUUUGGCAUUUAAAACAGAUAUAUAUUUGGUUUAUAAAUUUAUUUUUCAUGUGUUACUAUUAUAAAUUUUUUUUGGAUUAAUUUUUUAUUUUUUUUUGA